Molecule: unclassified non-coding RNA, 1397 nt
Filed under: Amphibalanus amphitrite
Lineage: Eukaryota; Metazoa; Arthropoda; Thecostraca; Balanomorpha; Balanidae
Description: n6-adenosine-methyltransferase non-catalytic subunit- like, transcript variant X1
Source: RNAcentral
UCGGAUAACGAUAGUGUGGAUAUUGUGUAUAUUGGUGUGUAUGAGUAUUUUUGUGGUGUUUCAAGUUAUUCUCUUUGUGUCGCAUUAUUAGCUUCCCAAAUAAUUAUUAAAAUGUCUGAGAAACUAAAGGAGAUGCGGGAAAAGUCUCAGAGGAGGAGGCAGCUCCUGGCUCAGCAGCUUGGAGUCUCCAGCCCACAAAAUUUGGGCAAGGUUCUAGGAAGUACCUCAUCAUCAGAGAAGCCAAAUGAGGAGAAGAAAGAGGAGCCAGAGGCAAAGAAGGCCAAAAGUGAUGAAAGUGACACAGCUGAAGAAAUGGUGUAUACUGAUUCUUCAGCCUUCCUCAAGGGCACCCAGUCGGCCAACCCCCACAACGACUACUGCCAGCACUUUGUCGACACCGGCCAGCGGCCGCAGAACUUCAUCAGGGACGUCGGACUCGAGGACCGCUUUGAAGAGUACCCGAAGCUGAGGGAGCUCAUCAAACUGAAGGACGAGCUGAUCGAGGAGACGGCCACGCCGCCCAUGUACCUGAAGACGGACCUGCUGUCGUUCGAGCUGCGCCAGCUGCGCAGUGAGUUCGAUGUGAUCCUGGUCGAGCCGCCGCUGGAGGAGUACCAGCGCACACUGGGCGUCACCAACGAGCGCUUCUGGAACUGGGACGAGAUAAUGGGUCUGCAGCUGGACCAGGUGGCCGCGCACCGCUCAUUCGUGUUCCUCUGGUGCGGCUCGUCCGACGGUCUCGACAAGGGCAGACAGUGUCUCAGGAAGUGGGGAUUCCGACGCUGCGAGGACAUCUGCUGGAUCAAGACCAACAUCAAAAACCCCGGCCACAACAAAAACCUGGAGACUAAGGCCAUCUUCCAGCGCACAAAGGAGCACUGCCUGAUGGGCAUCAAGGGCACGGUGCGCCGGUCGGUGGACGGAGACUUCAUCCACGCCAACGUCGACAUCGACCUGAUCAUCGCCGAGGACCCCGGCUACGGGUCGCUGGAGAAAGCCAAGGAGAUCUUCCACAUCAUCGAGCACUUCUGCCUCGGCCGGCGCAGACUGCAUCUGUUUGGCCGCGAGUCGACCAUCCGACCCGGCUGGCUGACGGUCGGACCCGGCCUGACCUCGUCCAACUUCGACCCGGACCUCUACAACGGCUACUUCGCCGGCGGAAACACCACCACCGGCUGCACGGAGCGGAUCGAGGCGCUGCGUCCCAAGUCGCCGCCGCCCAAGAGUCGCGGUGGCUACAGCCGGGGCCGCGGCCGGGGCGGUCGCUGACCGCGGUAGGUGGCGCUCUAGUCGCUAGCUGCUUGUGUAGGUGGCGCUGCCAGUGCGAAUGCUGUCGGCCAGAUCGCAUGGUGUCUUUCCUUCAUCGUCACGUGCUCACACUGCCAUGUGUGGUGUAC